CCUACGGGAGGCAGCAGUAGGGAAUAUUGGUCAAUGGGGGAGACCCUGAACCAGCCAUGCCGCGUGCAGGAAGACGGCCUUCUGGGUUGUAAACUGCUUUUAUACGGGAAUAAAUAGCCCCUGCGGGGGAAGUUGCAUGUACCGUAUGAAUAAGCACCGGCUAACUCCGUGCCAGCAGCCGCGGUAAUACGGAGGGUGCAAGCGUUGUCCGGAUUUAUUGGGUUUAAAGGGUGCGUAGGCGGCCUGACAAGUCAGUGGUGAAAUCCUCCCGCUCAACGGGAGAACUGCCAUUGAAACUGUAAGGCUUGAGGACAGUCGAGGUAGGCGGAAUUUAUGGUGUAGCGGUGAAAUGCAUAGAUACCAUAAAGAACACCGAUAGCGAAGGCAGCUUACUAGACUGUAACUGACGCUGAGGCACGAAAGCGUGGGGAGCGAACAGGAUUAGAUACCCUGGUAGUCCACGCCGUAAACGAUGAUCACUGGAUGUAUGCGAUAGACUGUAUGCGUCUAAGCGAAAGCGUUAAGUGAUCCACCUGGGGAGUACGUCGGCAACGAUGAAACUCAAAGGAAUUGACGGG
RNAcentral lists this ribosomal RNA (578 nucleotides) under uncultured Bacteroidota bacterium. RNAcentral's name for it is "bacterial SSU rRNA". It matches the Rfam family "Bacterial small subunit ribosomal RNA", at positions 338 to 917 of the family's 1533-position model. The record is from RNAcentral. Lineage: Bacteria; Pseudomonadati; Bacteroidota.